UGAAUGGGAAGAUGGAGAUGGAUGUUGAGGGAGUUUCUCCGCGCCCGGAGCCCAUCCCCCGCUCCCAGGGGGCUGGCGGAGCCUGCCAGGCGCCGCCACAGCCGCCCCAGCCCCAGCCGCCGCCGCAGCAGCUGGCUCAGGAUGAACUGCCCGGCGAGAGUGCAGGCGCUGAGGACAGCGACGAUCCCGAGACGAGACCCAACGGCGAGAAAGGAGAGAGCAAGAGAUGCCAUGGUCUACAAGGUGAUGAAUACCACUAUGAGCUCACUACAAGAUCUCAAAGAUUUCAAGCCACUGGCUGUUCCAAAGCAUGAAGCCGCCCUUCUGGAGCAGCAGCAGGAGGCAGGCAGGGAGGAGGUAAGGAAUCAUCCUUUCUUCCCUCUGCCCCUUGACUCCAUCAGCCUUUAGCUGUCAGAUUGUUUGGACUCAUGCCUGAUGGGCUUUUUCCCAUGUGUUCUUCCACAGGCCCUGAGUUUUGCCCAGAUGAUGGACUGUCUCGUUAGGUGUCCAGGCAGCUGCUGAAACAUAGUAAGGAAGAUGCUGCUGAUCCAAAGGAUAAAAACACAGAAACUGAAACCAAGAAGCACCUAAAGUGGACUCACGCCCAGCAUCCCUGCAGACUGAUGUUCUCUCAGCUAUAGUUCUGCAUUGAACUGUUUUUCCUUUGCUAUCACCUGCCUAACACACAGUCCUGGAUGCUUUUGACUGGUUGGAUUUUUUUUUUUUUCUCUGCCUUUUCAUUUUCUUUCCUUUUUUUCCUGCCUUUUCUUUUUCUUUCCUUGACCCUGGGAAUUACAAACAAGAAAUUGCUUUAAAAAGUAUUAUUCGGUGCUGAAAAUAGCCUUGUUUAUGAACAAGUUUUAUCCCUAGGGAUUUCCUGAAAUGCAGUCUCAGGUUACCUUGUAAAUGGGGCUGUGCCAUUUGAUUUGUAUAGUACUGAUCUGUAAGUUAAAAUACAUUUCCUUUCUUUUGUUUCAUUCGUUUUUAAAAAAUUUGCAUCCAGGUAAUGGCCUGAGUCACAUUUGCUUGGCUACUGAAGUGAUCUCAAUGUGUUAUCACUUAGAGUUGAAACAUAAUCAAACAUACGUUAUACCUGGGGCUCGUGCACACUCUUUGAUACAUAUGUCACAUUACAAAGAAACACAAACCUCGUAGGUUGAGAUUUAAUUCCUGUUUGAUCCUGCAGCUAGAAUACUAAAGAAAUUGUAAAUAUCAAAAUUGGCUUCAAAUACCCUGAAUAUAAGCUAGUCAACAGUAAGUGGAUGGCUCCAGAAUACCGUUUUCUAAGAAGCAGGAAUUAGAGAUCAACUGACCUCAUCCAUAAUGUUGCUCAGGUCUGUCUGUGGAUCUGUCCAUUUUGGAGUAAAAAACAAGGCAUGCUUCUGUGAUUGUGUUUAUGAAAACUGUAGUAUUUCAGAUUUAUGUUUUGUGAUUGUGCUUGCCUUGCAAUAAAACACCUUCAGUUGACUCACAUAAGGUCUCUGUCAAUUUCCUGCAAAACUGUGUCCUUAUUGGCUUUCUAAAAAAGUUCAGUGUAGACCUAUCAGUGGUGACCUGCUAGACAUUUCAGCUGGAUCUAGCAUUAUUGCUCUUUCAGAAAUAGCACUAGAGCUGUCCAUUGUCUACACAUGAGGUCAGAGUUGUACAGUCAGAUUCUCAUUUCUUCGUAUUAGCAUCAACUACAGAAAUCUAUAGUCACAGCCUAACCCUGUUACGUAUAUGUGCUGCCAUCUGCCAUUGUGUUCCAACUCUGGAGUCCCUAUUUAUUUCUGAGACUCUAGGAUAAGCCAAAAACCCUGUGGACCUCAGUGUCCUCAUAUACAAAAUGGGGAUAAUGAUACUUCCUAUGAUUGUGG
Molecule: long non-coding RNA, 1856 nt
Filed under: Rhinopithecus bieti (black snub-nosed monkey)
Lineage: Eukaryota; Metazoa; Chordata; Mammalia; Primates; Cercopithecidae
Description: lncRNA (ENSRBIG00000045230.1)
Source: RNAcentral